CCUACGGGAGGCAGCAGUGGGGAAUAUUGCACAAUGGGGGAAACCCUGAUGCAGCGACGCCGCGUGAGUGAGGAAGUAUUUCGGUAUGUAAAGCUCUAUCAGCAGGGAAGAAAAUGACGGUACCUGACUAAGAAGCCCCGGCUAACUACGUGCCAGCAGCCGCGGUAAUACGUAGGAGGCAAGCGUUAUCCGGAUUUACUGGGUGUAAAGGGAGCGUAGACGGAAUAGGAAGUCGGAUGGGAAAGCCCUGGGCGCAACCACGGGAGUGAAGUGGAAACUGUUGAUCUAGAGUGUGGGAGAGGUAAGCGGAAUGCGUGGUGUAGCGGUGAAAUGCAUAGAUAUUAGGAAGAACACCGAUGGCGAAGGCGGCUUGCUGGACGAUAACUGACGUUGAGGCACGAAAGCGUGGGGAUCAAACAGGAUUAGAUACCCGAGUAGUC
This 440-nucleotide ribosomal RNA is filed under the name uncultured bacterium. RNAcentral's name for it is "partial 16S ribosomal RNA". It matches the Rfam family "Bacterial small subunit ribosomal RNA", at positions 338 to 795 of the family's 1533-position model. The record is from RNAcentral.